RNAcentral lists this ribosomal RNA (439 nucleotides) under uncultured bacterium. RNAcentral's name for it is "partial 16S ribosomal RNA". It matches the Rfam family "Bacterial small subunit ribosomal RNA", at positions 339 to 795 of the family's 1533-position model. The record is from RNAcentral.
CUACGGGAUGCUCCAGUGAGGAAUAUUGCACAAUGGGGGGAACCCUGAUGCAGCAACGCCGCGUGGAGGAUGACGCAUUUCGGUGUGUAAACUCCUUUUAUAUGUCAAGAAAAUGACGGUAGCAUAUGAAUAAGCACCGGCUAACUCCGUGCCAGCAGCCGCGGUAAUACGGAGGGUGCAAGCGUUACUCGGAAUCACUGGGCGUAAAGGACGCGUAGGCGGGUUGGAAAGUCAGGUGUGAAAUCCUACAGCUUAACUGUAGAACUGCACUUGAAACUUCUAAGCUCGAGUAUGGGAGGGGGAGAUGGAAUUAGUUGUGUAGGGGUAAAAUCCGUAGAUAUCACUAGGAAUACCUAAAGCGAAGGCGAUCUCCUGGAACAUUACUGACGCUAAGGCGUGAAAGCGUGGGGAGCAAACAGGAUUAGAUACCCUCGUAGUC